RNAcentral lists this ribosomal RNA (253 nucleotides) under uncultured bacterium. Its description in RNAcentral is "partial 16S ribosomal RNA". It matches the Rfam family "Bacterial small subunit ribosomal RNA", at positions 524 to 776 of the family's 1533-position model. The record is from RNAcentral.
UACGUAGGGUGCAAGCGUUGUCCGGAAUUAUUGGGCGUAAAGAGCUCGUAGGCGGCUUGUCGCGUCGGCUGUGAAAACCUGGGGCUCAACCCCGGGCCUGCAGCCGAUACGGGCAAGCUAGAAUUCGGUAGGGGAGACUGGAAUUCCUGGUGUAGCGGUGAAAUGCGCAGAUAUCAGGAGGAACACCGGUGGCGAAGGCGGGUCUCUGGUCCGGUACUGACGCUGAGGUGCGAAAGCGUGGGGAGCAAACAGG